GCGCCCGUAGCUCAGCUGGAUAGAGCAUCAGACUACGAAUCUGAGGGUCAGGAGUUCGAAUCUCUUCGGGCGCG
Non-coding RNA from Azospirillum lipoferum, 74 nucleotides. The record is from Rfam. NCBI's taxonomy places the organism in Bacteria, Pseudomonadati, Pseudomonadota, Alphaproteobacteria, Rhodospirillales, Azospirillaceae.